AGCAGCCGCGGUAAUUCCAGCUCCAAUAGCGUAUAUUAAAGUUGUUGCAGUUAAAAAGCUCGUAGUUGAAUUUCGAGAUCAGUACGCUGGUCGUGCCUUUGGUAUGCACUGGUGUCACUGGUUUCUCCCUUCUGAAGAACUGUCAUGCCAUUCAGUUGGUGUGGCGGGGAAUCAGGACUGUUACUUUGAAAAAUUAGAGUGUUUAAAGCAGGCUCGCGCUUGAAUACAUUAGCAUGGAAUAAUGAAAUAGGACGUUUGACCCUAUUUUGUUGGUUUCUAGGAUCGACGUAAUGAUUAAUAGGGAUAGUUGGGGGCAUUAGUAUUCAAUUGUCAGAGGUGAAAUUCUUGGAUUUAUUGAAGACUAACUACUGCGAAAGCAUUUGCCAAGGAUGUUUUCAUUAAUCAAGAACGAAAGUUAGGGGAUCGAAGACGAUCAGAUACCGUCGUAGUCUUAACCAUAAACUAUGCCGACUAGGGAUCGGAUGAUGUUAAUUUUUAAUGACUC
RNAcentral lists this ribosomal RNA (505 nucleotides) under uncultured Glomus. RNAcentral describes it as "SSU rRNA". It matches the Rfam family "Eukaryotic small subunit ribosomal RNA", at positions 569 to 1077 of the family's 1831-position model. The record is from RNAcentral. Lineage: Eukaryota; Fungi; Glomeromycota; Glomeromycetes; Glomerales; Glomeraceae.